CGGCGGACGGGUGAGUAACACGUUGAUAACCUACCUAUAAGACUGGGAUAACUUCGGGAAACCGGAGCUAAUACCGGAUAAUAUUUUGAACCGCAUGGUUCAAAAGUGAAAGACGGUCUUGCUGUCACUUAUAGAUGGAUCCGCGCUGCAUUAGCUAGUUGGUAAGGUAACGGCUUACCAAGGCAACGAUGCAUAGCCGACCUGAGAGGGUGAUCGGCCACACUGGAACUGAGACACGGUCCAG
This 244-nucleotide ribosomal RNA is filed under the name uncultured Staphylococcus sp. Its description in RNAcentral is "partial 16S ribosomal RNA". It matches the Rfam family "Bacterial small subunit ribosomal RNA", at positions 96 to 334 of the family's 1533-position model. The record is from RNAcentral. Lineage: Bacteria; Bacillati; Bacillota; Bacilli; Caryophanales; Staphylococcaceae.